This 953-nucleotide long non-coding RNA is filed under the name Coccomyxa subellipsoidea. RNAcentral's name for it is "long non-coding RNA (CSUB_LNC000032)". Lineage: Eukaryota; Viridiplantae; Chlorophyta; Trebouxiophyceae; Coccomyxaceae. The record is from RNAcentral.
GCCCACCUAGCAUCAAGCCCUGCGCUGCACCGAUUCUGACUAGAGUCAACUGCUGCUGCAUGAAAGCUGAUUGUGAUUGCUUCAUUUCUGUCGUCUGGUCUGUCUGUGGAGGUCAACAACUGCCUCGCUGAAACGAGUGCAUUGAUACUGCUGCCUAGAUUCAUUUGUGCGGCAAUUGUGCCAAAGUGCACCCUGAGCAUCUGCCCAAGGACCUCAUGCAUGAUGCAUCCCCACUCCUGCUUAUCUAUACCAGCUUUUAUUCAGUUAAACGACUCAUCCCAAUGCUCAACGUAUCGCCUGAGCUGCAGCAGCAAGGACUUCGCGAGGUGGGGGAUAGUAGUCAGUGCUGUCCUGCAAUUCCGCGAAGGCAGUUUCGAACACUGCUCUCAGGCAUUGGGGCGCCGUUUUGUUCAAAUAUUAACGUUAAAUUCUCGUCAGAAAGGACCAUCGCAAUGAUCGGCACCUAAAGUGUGCUGCAGGGAUCACCACCUAGGCGCCCGAGACUCCACAGCUCGGCAGUGUACGGAUAAAGACGUCAGACCACCAGAUACACAAGAUCUCGUAGCCCUUACUGUAGUAAUUGUGGGAAAAUACAAAACAGCUAUAUUCCAAUCACCGCUGUGUAAAUUCGCCAAAAUAAAGUGCUCACUUAUCACAAGUGGGGGUGCUUGACAGCGCGUGUAGCACAAUAACAAUCAUUGACGUGCUCGCACCUUGUUAAAAGGUUGCCAAUUCUACCUAACGUGAUGAACAUCACAUCUAAACAUGCUUCAGAGCUGCUCCUUGACAUCAGUUUCUGGCUCCAGCUAUGCCUGGCAUCCUCCAGUACUCACUGCUAGCAGACUCGCUUUGCGCCGUUGAGAGCUCUGUGAACACACUCAACCCUUCGAUGGAUGCCGAAACUUGAAAGGCGCCAGCUUCCAUGUUCAUGCCUCCGGCGCUGGCUUGCAUUC